AAUAGAUACCCGGGUAGUCCUAGCUGUAAACGAUGAGCACUGGGUUGAAGGGUCCUCCAUAGCCUUUCAGCCGCAGCGAAAGUGUUAAGUGCUCCGCCUGGGGAGUAUGGUCGCAAGGCUGAAACUCAAAGAAAUUGACGGGGGCUCACACAAGCGGUGGAGGAUGUGGCUUAAUUCGAGGCUACGCGAAGAACCUUAUCCUAGUCUUGACAUGCACGGAUUAACCCCUGGAAACAGGGGCCACGCCUUCGGGUGGAACGUGCACAGGUGCUGCAUGGCUGUCGUCAGCUCGUGCUGUGAAGUGUCGGGUUAAGUCCCUUAACGAGCGAAACCCUUGUCGCUAGUUGCCAGCGGGUCAUGCCGGGGACUCUAGCGAGACCGCCGGCGUUAAGCCGGAGGAAGGUGGGGAUGACGUCAAGUCCUCAUGGCCUUUAUGACUAGGGCUGCACACGUCCUACAAUGGUCUGCACAAAGGGACGCAAAAUCGUGAGAUCGAGCAAAUCCCAAAAACAGGCCCCAGUUCGGAUUGC
RNAcentral lists this ribosomal RNA (530 nucleotides) under uncultured bacterium. Its description in RNAcentral is "bacterial SSU rRNA". It matches the Rfam family "Bacterial small subunit ribosomal RNA", at positions 777 to 1301 of the family's 1533-position model. The record is from RNAcentral.